AUUUGCAUAUCAAAAAGCGGAGGAAAAGAAACCAACAGGGAUUGCCCUAGUAACGGCGAGUGAAGCGGCAACAGCUCAAAUUUGAAAGCUAGCCUUCGGGUUCGCAUUGUAAUUUGUAGAGGAUGAUUUGGGGAAGCCGCCUGUCUAAGUUCCUUGGAACAGGACGUCAUAGAGGGUGAGAAUCCCGUAUGUGACAGGAAAUGGCACCCUAUGUAAAUCUCCUUCGACGAGUCGAGUUGUUUGGGAAUGCAGCUCUAAAUGGGAGGUAAAUUUCUUCUAAAGCUAAAUAUUGGCGAGAGACCGAUAGCGCACAAGUAGAGUGAUCGAAAGAUGAAAAGCACUUUGGAAAGAGAGUUAAAAAGCACGUGAAAUUGUUGAAAGGGAAGCGCUUGCAAUCAGACUUGUUUAAACUGUUCGGCCGGUCUUCUGACCGGUUUACUCAGUUUGGACAGGCCAGCAUCAGUUUCGGCGGCCGGAUAAAGGCUCUGGGAAUGUGGCCUCCACUUCGGUGGAGGUGUUAUAGCCCAGGGUGUAAUACGGCCAGCCGGGACUGAGGUCCGCGCUUCGGCUAGGAUGCUGGCGUAAUGGUUGUAAGCGACCCGUCUUAA
This 608-nucleotide ribosomal RNA is filed under the name Aureobasidium pullulans. RNAcentral's name for it is "partial large subunit ribosomal RNA". It matches the Rfam family "Eukaryotic large subunit ribosomal RNA", at positions 32 to 657 of the family's 3401-position model. Lineage: Eukaryota; Fungi; Ascomycota; Dothideomycetes; Dothideales; Saccotheciaceae. The record is from RNAcentral.